ACGAACGCUGGCGGCAGGCAUAAUACAUGCAAGUUGAACGGCAGCACAGGUAGCAAUACUGGGUGGCGAGUGGCGCACGGGUGCGUAACACGUAUGCAACCUACCCUAUACAGGCGAAUAACCUUUAGAAAUGAGGGCUAAUACGCCGUGGUAUUAUCUUGGGGCAUCUUGAGAUAAUUAAAGAUUUAUCGGUAUAGGAUGGGCAUGCGUCCCAUUAGUUAGUUGGUAGGGUAACGGCCUACCAAGGCUAUGAUGGGUAGGGG
RNAcentral lists this ribosomal RNA (263 nucleotides) under uncultured bacterium. RNAcentral's name for it is "partial 16S ribosomal RNA". It matches the Rfam family "Bacterial small subunit ribosomal RNA", at positions 29 to 289 of the family's 1533-position model. The record is from RNAcentral.